GCAAUAUUUACAGAUGCUUUGGGGACACAUCAGCACCGCGACAUUACAACUACUGGCUGUCGGCCCUCGGACACAUUUAAGAGAAGAGAGAGGCUCGCUUUCUUUUCUCAGGUGAUACAUCGACAUUUUUGUAUCCCGCUCCUGGCAGUCUUUCCUCGUUCUCUAGUACUUUUUGGAAAGGGUCUGCACCGUAGAUUUUCUUUCUAACACAUCACCAAGCUCCUACUUCCCUCUGCAUCUCCAGUCAGUAUGUUCGUUCUUCAAGAGUUCUUUUGGUAAAGCUGGCUGUCCGAAACUAACGCUGAACCAAACCCACAUGUGGAUUGUGGCAUGAGGAAACCAUGGUCAGGAUGACUGGGGCAGGUCUCCAUCUUGGGGCUGAGCCUUUUAAGAGGGAAUGGGUUGGUGCCCUUUCCCGAGAACAGGUUUUUCUUGUACAGUCAUUAGCAUGUCUAGUGCUUCCUGUUCAUAGCAGUUCCAACACGGGGCUUUCUAGAAGGACUGUUGCGUCCAGUGGGGCCCAAGCAAGAGAAGGGGUGGUUUGGGUGCCUAGAGGCCCAACACAGCAGGCCAAUGUACAACGCCCCAAGCCACCAAUUUGGGUUUUAUUGAUGCCACUCCAACCUCUGGACUCUCCCUGGAAGGGAGAGGGUCCUGACAUGAUGCCAGAGUUAGGGACAAGUGCUCAGAAUGGGAAGUUUUCCCAUAUAUGGGAUUAGACUAAAUUCAAUGUGAUUUCUUUUUCCCCUUGCAAAUCCUAUUCAGGUUGGGACUCAUUUCUUUCUGGUGGAUCACAGCUGCCCAGAUGUGUAGAUUGGUUUCUGUGUCCUGUAGACAAGUCCUUUUCUCUCAUCUUCAGCAGGGUUUUUUAUUUCGUUUUUUUGCCACCAAAAGAAAACAUCGGAACAUACGUCCCCUCUUAGUUGUGACUUUGCAUUGUUGACAGUUCAGUUCUCUGUGUUGUAGGUCCCAGCCCACCAGUACUCUAUCAAACACUGUUAGGCACAUGAUGCAGCACUGUGAUCUAAUUUAAAUAAUACUUUUUUAUUAUUUAUACUACUAUAUAUAAUAUACAUCAACACUUUUGCUAUAUAACCUAAGUGAUAAACCCUUUUUUUGGUUACCUGUCAGACUCUAGACUUUGGUCCCUAUUGCAGUUAACACAGUUACAGAAUUGUAAUGGUGUCUUGUUUUAUUUUUUUGUUUUUGUUUCUUUUCCUUCUUUUCCCUUUGUAACGGAAUGUGUAAAUCAAAGUAUAUACAUUGUGUGUUGUUCCUGUUUCUUGGGAUGUCAUGAGGAGUUACACACAGCAUUCAGUGUUCUGUAUAGACCUGCCCACCUUCGUGAAUUCAUCUGUUAACUCCUCCUCCUCUGAGAGCGCGCCAGCCACGGUGGCUAACUCCCAGCGUCCUCUCUCCUGCUGGCUAUUCUUGAAUUAAGCACAGACUCGUCCACUCGGUUGCUUUAUCAUGAAUAAUGGGCGUGACUUGGUCACUCUUCUACCCUUCAGCAAACAAGUGCUAGCUUCUUCGCUGACCAAAAAUUAAGGAAGGAAAACACCAUUUUCAAAACGAUCCACCUUUUCACGGCCGAGACGGAUGUUAGUCUACGGUGCUGCCUCGCGCUGUCGAGCCUCUGGAAUGAGCCCGCUGUGGAAUGACCAUUUCUGACUUGCUAUGGGAUGCUCACAAGUACCCUUCCUGUCUCGUUAGUAUUGGAAUCAAGACUCAUUAUUUGGAAUCUAUACAGCAGUGUUCCUCCACUGUGUUUCAUUUGCAAAAGUAGAGAACAUGCCUUCUCCACCCUUUUGCAAAUAAAUGAUACUCCAUAUUGGAUUCUCAAAAGACUUCGAUAUGGUGAUCCUGUCAAACCUAGAAAUUGUAUUAUCUUUUCAUACCUGACUUCCCCCACUUCUCCUGUUUUAGAGGAAACAGCACACUUUCAGUUACGGACACAGUCUCCAUUUCUAGAGUAUGUGUGUUGCAGCCAUCCAAGGUCAUAGCUGGCUCAGCCAGACUCAUGCCAUUGUUCUCACUGCCUGUCCUACCAUGGUGCACAUGGGGAGGGAAGAAGAAUGUGCGUCUGGGAAACAGCUACAUAGACUUUUUGUUUUUUUACUACUCUGAUUCUGUAACACUUCUGAGUUUUGUUCUAAUUUUACAGAAAACAAACAAGACCACAAUGAUAAAGCAGAAGCCCACAAGGUUUGUGGCUGAAUCUUAGAGUCACCCGACCUUUCCUGGCCAACAGGUCUACAUGGCCAAAUUUAUUUACAAGAGUAAUAAUUUCUUCAGAAGCCAAUUUUUUUUCUGUAUUUCUGUACAAAACUGCCAAUAUCAUGAACAGAAGGGGAGAACCGUAAAGGAGAAAGCAAGUGAUGUUCGGUGGCGUUUGCAUUAGCCUAAAGCAGCGGUGUGACGAUGACUCCAUCAGCCGAGCUCCAGGGACUUGGUGUUGCUUGGGAGGGAUCCAUACAGCAUUUUGCGUUCUUCAUGUGUAAUCAUAUUGCCAAAGACAAACUACUUCAUCAUUUAUUGUAAAUAACACUUCCCCAGACCUACCAUAAAGUUUCUGUGAUGUAUUGUCUUCCAGUUGCAAUAAAAAUGACUGAGUUGCAUCAAUUGAA
RNAcentral lists this long non-coding RNA (2627 nucleotides) under Rattus norvegicus (Norway rat). RNAcentral's name for it is "long non-coding RNA NONRATT025268". Lineage: Eukaryota; Metazoa; Chordata; Mammalia; Rodentia; Muridae. The record is from RNAcentral.